CUGUGUGCAUUGUGUCCGAAAACACCCACGGGGGGGAUCAUCUCAACUCAUCCACACACACACGACAAUCGAUCGCUAAAUCGAUAUCCUCCAUCCAGUGCAUCCGAAUUACCUCUUUCGUAACGUCGCCAUUUCCGUAAACGAAGGUCACCAGUGUGUGCUAGUGAGAGGGUGCAAAUCAUCCUUUUUUUGUUCAAAACUUGAAAGUGUCGUUCGUGAAGAACUGCUGCAUACUUCAAGGUCAUUAUCUAAAAUAAAAAACAGACACUUCAGCGCUGCGGGGAUUUAUUUUUAAAUAUAUUUUAUAUUUAUCCAGAGCGGGUUGUGUUUACUCGAUAAAUAAAUUAAUAUUUUAGUCUUAACUCGAGUGGGUCCUUGAUCGGGUGUUUUUAGUGCCAAAAAAGUUCGAUGGGAAAACAUCACGAGUUGAUCGUGGACUUGAGACGGAAUUCCCCGAACGAACCGUGGGGCUUUAGUUUGGUAGGGGGCGCUGACGUUAAAACACCCUUGAUCGUUACGAGGGUUGCCUUUGGAUCUCCGGCCCAAGGAGGUCUUCAACGAGGAGACAUCAUCACUAAAGUAGGCAAUUACGAUUCUAGAGACAUCAGACACGAAGAUGCUCAGAAUUUAUUUCGAAAUGCUGGCAGUAACGUUCGCUUGGUAGUUCAAAGAGAAACCGCUCCUAGACAAAAUGCCAGCACUGGAUCAUCAAGAAACAGCUCCCACUAUAGUCCCUUAUCGGUGUCUCCUAAUUUAUCGCCCAGAGGUCCGGGACUCAGUCCGGGUUAUAGUCCAGCUGGAUCGGCACUGACACCCGUAUACACGUCUCCUCUCACUCCCAUUGAUAAUAAUUACUUUGAACCUUACGAAUAUGGUCAGAGAAAGAGAGAUGGUAAUGAAGAUGGGGAGGUUCACGUCAUGAAACAGCCCUACCGCACCACCCCCUUAGUAUUACCUGGUGCCAAAGUGAAGAGGGAACCCGGACCGACUGAAAGUUAUCUGCGUCAUCAUCCUAAUCCUAGUGUACGGGCGCCGCCCCAUCAUCUUGAUUAUGGUCAUAAGGUAGCGAACACCGUUUUAGAAAGAAUAACAACUGGAGAUCCAAACAAACAGUUAGUACACAAACAAUUUAACUCUCCGAUCAACGUGUACAGUGAACCGAACAUUUUGGACACUAUCCACAGGCAGACCGGCGUGCAAGCUCCUAAGAGACACGUAAAGUUUAACCCUGCCGAGAGCGCGACUUACCAGUACCUCCAAGAGGAGGAAAUGGGAGGAUACGGAGCGCCGGUGCAGGAGGUGGUGACACCCCCGCAGAGUAAAAUUUACACACCCACCAAGGUAACAGACAUUAAAAGUACGAUUAAAACCGCUUAGUGACCGCUUGAUGAAUUAUUGAUCCAUAUGCUUCUUAAGCUGCUUUAAUGUGAGAAAAGGCCGCCAACGUAGUAAACACCAACAAUCCGCAAUAUUUAAACGCAAUCGGUCAAGAUCCGGAAGUAAUUCAGCAAAGCGGAUCGUUCAAGAGGCUAAUGAUGUCUGUCUUGCCAGGAAGCAAUUUUUAAUUUCAUUUCUAACAGUUCACUUGUAUUGUAUACAUGCACUGCUGACGACGAACAUUUUAAAAAUGUUCGAUUUAUUAUUCUAUUUUAAACGUGCCUUUCAAUAAUCAUAGAACUAGAAUCGUAAUUUUGAGCCAUUUGAGAGUCAGAAAACUUUAUUUUUAUAUCUUGCGAUUUUAUAGGAUGUUAUUGAAGGGUACUUAACAUAUUUUAAAUAAGAAAACUAAUCUACAAAAGAAAAAAAAGUACAUUCGAUCCAUUGGGAUUUUCUCUCACUACGGAAGAGUGACGUUGUAUCACAUAAGUUGAAUCUAAUAUUUGUUGUUGUUUCUUUAUUUUUUUUAAAUUAUCUUUUGGAUUAUUUUAGAUUCGAGUGGUUUCUAGUCAGAAAAAAAUUAGGUUAUUUAGUAUACAUAUUAUUAUAUAUAAUAGCAUAACCUUAUAGAUACUGUUUGUUUUCUUUGAUCAGUUAAAUCAUUGCAUACCUACUUUUAAAUCAAUAUACAUAAAUAGAAUAUAUUUACCUCAUAUUAAUUGUAAAAAAUUAGGAAUGUUUCGUAAAAAUGUACUACUUAUUCAAUACAAAAAAUUUUAUUUAUUCAAAAA
Molecule: RNA transcript, 2168 nt
Organism: Anthonomus grandis grandis
Lineage: Eukaryota; Metazoa; Arthropoda; Insecta; Coleoptera; Curculionidae
Gene: Zasp66
Gene name: PDZ and LIM domain protein Zasp
Exons: 9
Source: RefSeq, a predicted model, not a curated record